Molecule: ribosomal RNA, 412 nt
Filed under: Tsukamurella pulmonis
Lineage: Bacteria; Bacillati; Actinomycetota; Actinomycetes; Mycobacteriales; Tsukamurellaceae
Description: bacterial SSU rRNA
Rfam family: Bacterial small subunit ribosomal RNA
Source: RNAcentral
GGGACUCGUGAGAGACUGCCGGGGUCAACUCGGAGGAAGGUGGGGAUGACGUCAAGUCAUCAUGCCCCUUAUGUCCAGGGCUUCACACAUGCUACAAUGGCGCGUACAGAGGGCUGCGAUACCGCGAGGUGGAGCGAAUCCCUUAAAGCGCGUCUCAGUUCGGAUUGGGGUCUGCAACUCGACCCCAUGAAGUCGGAGUCGCUAGUAAUCGCAGAUCAGCAACGCUGCGGUGAAUACGUUCCCGGGCCUUGUACACACCGCCCGUCACGUCAUGAAAGUCGGUAACACCCGAAGCCGGUGGCCUAACCCCUUGUGGGAGGGAGCUGUCGAAGGUGGGAUUGGCGAUUGGGACGAAGUCGUAACAAGGUAGCCGUACCGGAAGGUGCGGCUGGAUCACCUCCUUUCUAAGGAG